Long non-coding RNA from Felis catus (domestic cat), 235 nucleotides. RefSeq lists it as uncharacterized. NCBI's taxonomy places the organism in Eukaryota, Metazoa, Chordata, Mammalia, Carnivora, Felidae. The transcript has 2 exons. The record is from RefSeq and is a predicted model, not a curated record.
GCAGCCUUACUCUCCUCUGUCCAGUUUUGAGUGUGAAAUCUGCAAAGGACUUCAGCAGAUAUUGCCCUCAAGAGACUGGCUGUUUAAAUGGACCAACAUGUAAUGCUGUGUUGACUGAUCUGAACAACUAACUCACAUCCCAAUUCAAAUGAUACUGUUCGUGGCAGGUUCUGGUUUAAUAAAGAUCCCAGCUUUUACCUGUUCUUACCUUAAAAAACAGGUCCUUCUGCUACAA